This is a long non-coding RNA of Sardina pilchardus (European sardine), 596 nucleotides long. RefSeq lists it as uncharacterized. The transcript is spliced from 4 exons. Lineage: Eukaryota; Metazoa; Chordata; Actinopteri; Clupeiformes; Clupeidae. The record is from RefSeq and is a predicted model, not a curated record.
GUAAUAUCAAACAUCACUGAGCUGUAAAAGUUGCUUGUGUUGUUUAAUUAUGAGUAAUCUGUGAUCAGUGGCUCUUUUUGUGAGAAAGAUCUACAACAAUGACACGAAAACUCUUUCUGGUCAUUGUGCUCUUUCUGGUGAUUGGUGAGCUGGUUGGUCAAUCAUCUGCUACUGAUGAUGGUGUUACCCUGUCUGAACUAUCCACUGCUCCGGCAGAGGCACUGAAGGACUUGGCCUAUGAGGGACACCUUCGUGUAAAGCGUGGAUGCAUGGAGAAGAGGUGGUAGAAGAGGUGGCAGAAGAGGAGGCAGAAGAGGAGGGAGAGGACGGGGACACCGUGGGAGAAAGGGAAAACCAGGAGGAGAGGGAGGAGGUUUUGCAGGAGGGGAUUCUUCAGGAGGGGGUGCAUCUUGCAAUGGUUAACAGAGAGAAUAGCAGCAAGGACACUGGAGAAGUCCUAAUAAUAUUUGGCAUGUCCAUAUUCAAGGUUGUACACAUUUAGUAUGACAUUAAUACUUUUUUGGGGGUAAUCUGUGAGGUGAUCAUCAUGCUUCCUAAGCUUGCCUCUCUUAAAAAAAAAUGGAAAAUAAAAAUGU